AAGUCGUAACAAGGUUUCCGUAGGUGAACCUGCGGAAGGAUCAUUACACGUAUCCAACGUUAAAACCCCUGUGAACCUACAGCCCUAUUCUAAACACGUUUGCUAGAGGUCCACACGACCGGCAACCGGGAUCCAGGCCGCAAGGUCCCUAACCACCCCUCGCAAGAAUUUAGCGUGCACCUAACGGUUGUACGCACCCCCAAACUGAACAACUGUUAACAAUGGAUAUCUUGGUUCUC
RNAcentral lists this unclassified non-coding RNA (239 nucleotides) under fungal sp. Its description in RNAcentral is "partial internal transcribed spacer region". The stretch from base 1 to 46 matches the Rfam family "Eukaryotic small subunit ribosomal RNA", at positions 1786 to 1831 of the family's 1831-position model. Lineage: Eukaryota; Fungi. The record is from RNAcentral.